Molecule: non-coding RNA, 237 nt
Organism: Pelobates cultripes (western spadefoot toad)
Lineage: Eukaryota; Metazoa; Chordata; Amphibia; Anura; Pelobatidae
Source: the annotation of a GenBank genome assembly
CCCCAUUCGCAUUCAACCGCAUUCGGUACUUUUUCGUCUAAAUACACUUCGCCACUAAGCUAUGUAAUUCAUGUUUUUAGCAUUCAUACGAACGCUGCAUUCGGCCAGAUACUUAGGAUUUCUACCAAACAAAGGUAGUCAUUAUAUACUGUCAUCACAUUCGACUUAAAUUCGUGCAUUUCUCACUAAUUAUACAAGAUCCUGCAUCCACUUCUUAGGUGGAAUCUCGCCCCCUAC